This 742-nucleotide ribosomal RNA is filed under the name cyanobacterium enrichment culture clone 5_4_5.1.4_G09-T7. Its description in RNAcentral is "bacterial SSU rRNA". It matches the Rfam family "Bacterial small subunit ribosomal RNA", at positions 8 to 792 of the family's 1533-position model. The record is from RNAcentral. Lineage: Bacteria; Bacillati; Cyanobacteriota.
AGAGUUUGAUCCUGGCUCAGGAUGAACGCUGGCGGUCUGCUUAACACAUGCAAGUCGAACGGAAUCUUUCGGGAUUUAGUGGCGGACGGGUGAGUAACGCGUGAGAAUCUGCCUUCAGGUUCGGGACAACAGCUGGAAACGGCUGCUAAUACCGGAUGUGCCGAGAGGUGAAAGCUUUAGUGCCUGGAGAUGAGCUCGCGUCUGAUUAGCUAGUAGGAGUGGUAACGGCACCCCCAGGCGACGAUCAGUAGCUGGUCUGAGAGGAUGAUCAGCCACACUGGGACUGAGACACGGCCCAGACUCCUACGGGAGGCAGCAGUGGGGAAUUUUCCGCAAUGGGCGCAAGCCUGGCGGAGCAAGACCGCGUGAGGGAAGAAGGUCUGUGGAUUGUAAACCUCUUUUGAUAGGGAAGAAGAUAGUGACGGUGCCUAUCGAAUCAGCCUCGGCUAACUCCGUGCCAGCAGCCGCGGUAAUACGGAGGAGGCAAGCGUUAUCCGGAAUUAUUGGGCGUAAAGAGUCCGUAGGUGGGUGACCAAGUCAGUUGUUAAAUAGUGAAGCUUAACUUCAUAGAGGCGACUGAAACUGGUCAUCUAGAGUGUGGUAGGGGUAGAGGGAAUUUCCAGUGUAGCGGUGAAAUGCGUAGAUAUUGGAAAGAACACCGGUGGCGAAAGCGCUCUACUGGGCCUGCACUGACACUGAGGGACGAAAGCUAGGGGAGCGAAAGGGAUUAGAUACCCCUGUA